RNAcentral lists this ribosomal RNA (241 nucleotides) under uncultured bacterium. RNAcentral describes it as "partial 16S ribosomal RNA". It matches the Rfam family "Bacterial small subunit ribosomal RNA", at positions 93 to 334 of the family's 1533-position model. The record is from RNAcentral.
AAGCGGCGGACGGGUGAGUAACGCGUGGGUAACCUACCCUGUACACACGGAUAACAUACCGAAAGGUAUGCUAAUACGGGAUAAUAUAUUUGAGAGGCAUCUCUUAAAUAUCAAAGGUGAGCCAGUACAGGGUGGACCCGCGUCUGAUUAGCUAGUUGGUAAGGUAACGGCUUACCAAGGCGACGAUCAGUAGCCGACCUGAGAGGGUGAUCGGCCACAUUGGAACUGAGACACGGUCCAA